ACAAAAUGUUUUCGAUGUAUAGUUAGCAUUGGUCGUUUCUAUGCUUUUUUGUGAUCAUAUACCGAUCGAUGCUCGCUUUAUUUCGAGUCACAU
Molecule: microRNA precursor, 93 nt
Filed under: Tribolium castaneum (red flour beetle)
Lineage: Eukaryota; Metazoa; Arthropoda; Insecta; Coleoptera; Tenebrionidae
Description: microRNA tca-mir-11618a precursor (tca-mir-11618a-1)
Source: miRBase by way of RNAcentral